AAGGACUGUGACCAUGUGGCCAGUGCCCAACUGAGGAAACAGAUCCGCCUCUGUACUUGGCCCACACCCCUCCCCAGCUGCUCCCUCCCAGGAGAGCCCAGGUGGCAACACCCAGGGCCACCCUGGAAGCCUCAGGAGGACAGCAAGACCACCAUCAGCCAGGCCCCAGGUGACCACUACCCAGCUACAGUUCUCAAAAGAAGCCCAUUUCCCUUCUGCUUAGGGUGUUAUGCCAAGUUCUAUUACGUCUGGGCAAUUGAACUUAGGUCCGCAGGGCGCAGCGACGUCCUCUUCUCAUCCCAAUGACUCAGGAGGCUGAGUCAAGAGAAUUACAAGUUCUAGACCAGCCUCAGCAACUUAGCAAGACCCGUCUCAAAAGGGCUGGGAUGUUGCUGAGUGUUAGGGUGCUCCUGGGUUCAGUUCCCAGUACCAAUAAGUGAAUAAAUAAAAUAUCUGUCUUAGGUUAGAUCAUUAGUCCCAGCUCUUUCUUUCUCUCUUUCACAGUCCUGGGCAUUGAACCUAGGGGCACUCUAACACUGAGCUACACCCCAGAAUUGUUCUCUUUUAUUUUGAGACAGGGUCUCGCUAAGUUGCCCGGGCUGUCCUUGAACUUCAGAUCCUCCUGCCUCAGCCUACCAAGUGGCUGGGAUUACAGUUGUGCAACACUGUGCCUGACUCUUGUUCACAGUUCCUGAAUUUUACAUCCACCUCCUUCCUGUGGCCUUUGGGAAGGCAACGUUGGGCUUGGCAGCGUGGCUGGCUCUGGCCAGUGUGCUCUUACCCAUUGUGAAGUGGGGGCAAAGGUUUGGAAUUUGCUGUCCAAUUUGGCCUUGUUCUCUUGAAUGCCUGGAGUCCACCAUGAGAAGGCUGCAC
Molecule: long non-coding RNA, 873 nt
Filed under: Marmota monax (woodchuck)
Lineage: Eukaryota; Metazoa; Chordata; Mammalia; Rodentia; Sciuridae
Source: RNAcentral